This 1437-nucleotide ribosomal RNA is filed under the name uncultured organism. RNAcentral's name for it is "16S ribosomal RNA". It matches the Rfam family "Bacterial small subunit ribosomal RNA". The record is from RNAcentral.
GCUUAACACAUGCAAGUCGAGGGGCAGCAUUUUAGUUUGCUUGCAAACUGAAGAUGGCGACCGGCGCACGGGUGAGUAACACGUAUCCAACCUGCCGAUAACUCCGGGAUAGCCUUUCGAAAGAAAGAUUAAUACCGGAUAGCAUACGAAUAUCGCAUGAUAUUUUUAUUAAAGAAUUUCGGUUAUCGAUGGGGAUGCGUUCCAUUAGUUUGUUGGCGGGGUAACGGCCCACCAAGACUACGAUGGAUAGGGGUUCUGAGAGGAAGGUCCCCCACAUUGGAACUGAGACACGGUCCAAACUCCUACGGGAGGCAGCAGUGAGGAAUAUUGGUCAAUGGGCGCGAGCCUGAACCAGCCAAGUAGCGUGAAGGAUGAAGGCUCUAUGGGUCGUAAACUUCUUUUAUAUGGGAAUAAAGUUUUCCACGUGUGGAAUUUUGUAUGUACCAUAUGAAUAAGGAUCGGCUAACUCCGUGCCAGCAGCCGCGGUAAUACGGAGGAUCCGAGCGUUAUCCGGAUUUAUUGGGUUUAAAGGGAGCGUAGGUGGAUUGUUAAGUCAGUUGUGAAAGUUUGCGGCUCAACCGUAAAAUUGCAGUUGAAACUGGCAGUCUUGAGUACAGUAGAGGUGGGCGGAAUUCGUGGUGUAGCGGUGAAAUGCUUAGAUAUCACGAAGAACUCCGAUUGCGAAGGCAGCUCACUAGACUGUCACUGACACUGAUGCUCGAAAGUGUGGGUAUCAAACAGGAUUAGAUACCCUGGUAGUCCACACAGUAAACGAUGAAUACUCGCUGUUUGCGAUAUACAGUAAGCGGCCAAGCGAAAGCAUUAAGUAUUCCACCUGGGGAGUACGCCGGCAACGGUGAAACUCAAAGGAAUUGACGGGGGCCCGCACAAGCGGAGGAACAUGUGGUUUAAUUCGAUGAUACGCGAGGAACCUUACCCGGGCUUAAAUUGCAACAGAAUAUAUUGGAAACAGUAUAGCCGUAAGGCUGUUGUGAAGGUGCUGCAUGGUUGUCGUCAGCUCGUGCCGUGAGGUGUCGGCUUAAGUGCCAUAACGAGCGCAACCCUUAUCUUUAGUUACUAACAGGUCAUGCUGAGGACUCUAGAGAGACUGCCGUCGUAAGAUGUGAGGAAGGUGGGGAUGACGUCAAAUCAGCACGGCCCUUACGUCCGGGGCUACACACGUGUUACAAUGGGGGGUACAGAAGGCGGCUACCUGGUGACAGGAUGCUAAUCCCAAAAACCUCUCUCAGUUCGGAUCGAAGUCUGCAACCCGACUUCGUGAAGCUGGAUUCGCUAGUAAUCGCGCAUCAGCCAUGGCGCGGUGAAUACGUUCCCGGGCCUUGUACACACCGCCCGUCAAGCCAUGAAAGCCGGGGGUACCUGAAGUACGUAACCGCAAGGAGCGUCCUAGGGUAAAACUGGUAAUUGGGGCUAAGU